GCCAGCAUAGCCUAGUGGUAAGGUGCAGGGCUUAUGACCAAAAGGUUGCUGGUUCAGUUCCCUGCUGGAG
Megalops atlanticus (tarpon) is the source of this 70-nucleotide non-coding RNA. The record is from the annotation of a GenBank genome assembly. Lineage: Eukaryota; Metazoa; Chordata; Actinopteri; Elopiformes; Megalopidae.